Molecule: long non-coding RNA, 5621 nt
Filed under: Sus scrofa (pig)
Lineage: Eukaryota; Metazoa; Chordata; Mammalia; Artiodactyla; Suidae
Description: lncRNA (ENSSSCG00025073727.1)
Source: RNAcentral
ACGCUACAGAAAUAAAGCCUAGGAAAUAUCAUUUCACUGCAAGAACCAUGAUCACAGUCUGCGGGGCUGUCACUACCAGCUGACUGAUCAGCAAGCUCAGCCAAUCAGAACUUAGCAAUGCCCAGACAGUUCUAAUCCCAGACACAGAGUGGUGGUCAGCUGAAAACAGCUUAUAAAGUUCCCAGCAUCAGCUACUCCAGUUCAUGUUCCAAGUUCAUAAAGCCGAUAUAAACAAAGUGCAUUAUCCAUGAUCAGCGUCUAAUAAUAAAACAAUAAGAUUAUACCUGUUGCUAAUAUGUCUACGACUAGGAGACAGCAUGACAAGGGCAGACAAUUAAAUCAGGAUAUGCAAUAAGUUAAUCCUGGGAGACUCUGGAAGAAUGAAACGUGCCUCAUCUCUGUCACCAGGAGCCUUGUGAGUCACUCCAAAGCACCUCUGGCUGCAGGAGCCUCAGGAAAGAUGCUUUUCAACCUGUUUUGUCCCUUUGUACUGCUCCAUGAAAGACUGUCUCUCCUUUGCUCCCCUCCCACCUUUCAACUGAUUCCCUGUGACACUUGUGAGCACUAACCACAGGCCAAACACUGCUGAGUGCUCUCUGUAUCAUCUCCUUUACAUCUGCACAAUGAUCCUGGGGGUAGGGAUGACACUAUCCCCAUUCAAAGGGAAGAAGACCGAGGCUCAAAAAGUCUAAGCACAUGAAGGAGGCUGUGCAUGUAUGGGGAUAUGUAGGAAAUCUCUGUUCCUGGCUCUCAAUUUUGCAGGAAACGUAAAACUUCCCUAAAAAAUAGUCUUUAAAAAAAAAAAAAAACACUUAAGCAUCUCGCCCAAGCAUAACCAGUAAACAGCAAAUGGGGAUUCAAACUGAAGCUUUCAGACUCCAUAAAUCUCCUCUUGCACACAAUCCCAUAGUGCUUCUGUGUCCUGAUAUAUCCCUAGACACAAAGAUCUCAGAGCCUUGCUGAGGAAAUAAGACCUAAAAGGACAAAAGGAGAAUCCCCAGUGCCCUCAGUGAUCUCGGUUCACCUGUGGUCUUAGCAGGGACUGUGCCCUGUUGACCUCAGGGCCCUUGUACAGAGGACCAGCACAGAGAGCAAGCAUAGCAGAGUAGGGAAUUCAUUAGUGUUUGUAGACUGAGAGGGAGGGAGGGAGAAACUGCUCCUUGGACAGGAGACCAUGGAACAGUCUAGAAGCCAUCACUUUCAGAACCACACAGGGCUACACAUGGGGUUCUGAAAGUGCUCCUUGGACAGGAGACCAUGGAACAGUCUAGAAGCCAUCACUUUCAGAACCCCACAGGGCUACACAGUGGGGUUCUGAAAGUGCUCCUUGGACAGGAGACCAUGGAACAGUCUAGAAGCCAUCACUUUCAGAACCCCACAGGGCUCCCACAUACAUACAGGAACUCGAAAGUGGAGUUUAGGGGGUAAGCUUGGUCCUUUUCAGAUCCUGCCAAAGAUUUAAAAUGUCAAUAUUUUGUUCAAUAUGGACUUUUUAAAUCUAAUUUUGAUUUUUUUAAAAUAGUGCGUUGAAAUAUCACACAUCUGGAUUUUCAAGUCUUUCAAGCAUGCCCUUCCGGGUCCCUCUGAGGCAAGUGCCUCACUCUCCUCAUCCUUGUCCCAGAGCUUCACCACCUUCAAACUUGAAGCAAAAGUCACACUCAGGACACAGCAGUCAUGUGAGUGCAAGCAGUGGGCUCUCAGUUCACAGCCACAGAGUUCGUGCCCAGAACAUUCUGGCUCUGCUGUCCCCAAGCUGUCCCCAAGCGUGUGUUGGCAGCUCCUAACCAGGGGAGGACGAUUUGAACAAUGUUUCGGUGCUUAAUUAAAUUCCAAGAACACCUGUUUCAUCAGGUUAUAAAUUCCAACUGAAUUUUAAGAGGCUUCUGUUUGGUACACAGAGCUUUUAUUUUCUAGGCUGUAACCACAGCAACAUUGUUGCCUGAUUAUCCAUCCUUCACUCCUGCCACACAUGCCACACCCUCAUCCCCUGCCUUCAGCGGCCGUAGAGAGCUUAUGAUGGCUUUUCACACUCCCCAUUCAGCUCUCUGCCUGGCACAACAGCAGCAGCAAACAUUUCAUGCUGUGGAUUUGCCUUUCCCUAAUGGCUCACCUAAAGUUGGGACAUUGGUACAAGAAAACACAGUGCUGUCAACUGAACUUCCUUCACUAGCUAACACCGAAAAACUAAAACAGUUUCUUCCCUUGUUUUCAGCAUCUCUAGCACAACAUGCAGGCCCUGUGCUGGGCGCCUCCCUUAUGUUUACUUCCUCUUGGAGCUUCAAUUCCCUCUCCAUGCAAGGCAGUGAUGACAGUCGCCCCCUCCCUGCACCGUAGGGGUAGGGGACUCUCUCUGAGGUCACACAGCUAGUAAAGCGUAGUAGUAGAGUAGGGACCAGAAGUCAGGCCCUUCAGAUUUCAACAUCUGCCCUGACGGACUUCUGGUUCUAAGGCCCCAAAGUGAGAGCCCCUUUGAGGUCUUAAGAGUGACCCAAGGGCAAAGCAAUGAACAAAUGUCAAAAAAGGCAGUGGUGAGGAUGAAAAGCUUGAAGAAUGCCAUCACCUGCAUGAAGGCUUGAUUGGGAGUGUGGGGGGAUGUCUUUAAACCAUCCCCUGAACUAGGAUUAAGCCCAGGUAAGAGUCAGGAGACGGGCUGGGUGGCAGUAAUGACACUGGGGCUGCUGUCAAGCACGCUCCACACUAACUGGGCUAAUUUCCCUAUGCCUCAGUUUCUUCUUUUAGAAAAUGGGUAAAGAGUUUCCAACUCAUGGGUCUGAAGUAUAAUUUUGAAGUAAUUAAUGUACACUGAUUUUUUUUUCUAAUUUUUAAAAAGAAUUCAAGUAAAAUGUUUAGACUAGGGCUGGAUAUAUAGGAAGAGCUCUGUAAGUGUUAAACUGCUAUUGCUGUCAUUGUACUUGUUAUGCACCAUAGAAAGUGCUUUUUCCACACCAUCCCCAGUAACUUCCUACCCUCUGCAAGGUAACAGUUCAAACUCCUGCUGGUGUGCUUUGCUCCAUGGCAUGGGCUUGCCUUUCCUCAUGCAAUCAGGUCCGGGGUGCCUUUCGCUACCUGCAACUUCAAGAGCACACUUGAGGCUGUCACCUCUGCUGAGCCUUCCCUGACCUCCCUGUCCUCUGUCCCCACCCCCCACCCAACACAGACUGCCUCAGUUCCCCAUUCAUAUGACACAGUCAAAGACCCCUUUGCCAGCGGCCUGUCCUUCCGCAGAUGGAGUCAGGCGUAGGACCCUGCUCAGACCCACCCAGUCCCAAUGCUCAUUCAUUCAUGCCUUCCCCAAAUAUCUAUCCUGUGUUUUGUGCUAGAAUUGGGGCAGGGUGGGGUGGAAUGAGGAUGGGGGUGGCAACAGCAAUAAACAAAGCAGAUACAGAACUUGUCCUUGGGGAAGAUGAUGAAAAACAAGUUAUGAGAGAAACUAUACAAUUCUGAAUUGUGAUCAAUGCAAUGAAAAAAAAAUAAGGUAAAAGAACUAUCUGGAGAUUAAGUAUCCCGCCACUCAGUAUCAACACAGAACCUUCCACAACCUCAUACCUUUCUAAUUAUCACUUUACAUGACACAUCAUACCUUAACGCCUCUAAGCAUAAAAUCCUCAAGUCAUUGAGAAAUGGGCCCUUGCCAUUUCUCCUUGCCUUGGCAAAUGGAUAGGGUUUGCUCUGUGGCAUAGAAAUUCCGGCCACAGGCUCUGAGGACUCUCAGUCUGGCACUGGCUCCUGAUUUGCCAGCGAGUCUCAGGGCGCGGAGCAGCUCAUUUGGAAUUUUGCCAAGGCCCCCAGGAGUGGGCAGCCUUCAGAUUCCCUUUGACUAAUUUUUAUUUUCCCCCAAUCAUGAACAGUGGCUGGGUUUUUAAAAGCCACCAAACUAAGAGAAUGGUGAAAAAUAAGAUGCUGCAAACAUGAAAUGAUAGUUAAAACCAUGCCUGGGCUCUGACCUGUGCCAACAUCUAGCCAAUUGUUCUAACUCUGAAUGGAGUUUUCCAGGUGCUUUGAGGGGCUCUUGGGAUUUUAUGUUUCGAUCAGAGCCCACUCUAAAGGGAUUUUUGGCUAAGUCAAGCAAUGCUCCCCUUUCUUUCCUGGAAGAGAAGGCAGCCAACUUUCUCUCACCUUCACUCUUAAGUCUAACUUGCAGUCCACUUAUUCUUUCUGGUUGCUUUGCUAGGGGCUGCAAUUACUGUGUUGGGGGGUGGGGGGCGCAGCCAAGCCUCCUUUACCAAGCCAGCCCCACUCUUGCUGGUAAAGUCUCAUUUCCCACACAGCCUGUCCGCCUGCAGUGAUUCCUGCUGGAGUCCGCCUUUUCCUUCAAGCCUCUCAUUUCUUUGCAGUCUUUUCCCUCCCAGGAAGCACAGGGCCUGAAGCAAACAUUCAGCUGCUGUAUCACCCACUUCCUGGUGCUGCCAUCCUGUCUGACUCUUCUGACCCCAGGACUCCAGAGCUGUUUGCAAACUUCUGUGAUACUUGCUACUUCUCCUGCCUUAGCUGAUUGUCUUGGACCUGACUUCAUCUGUUCCUGUUUGUCGAAUGCUGUGCCAUCUGCCAGGCAGGCCAGGCUCCUUGGACAUGGCCAUGAGGUGUAUCUGAGGAACCUGGCCCUUGAAAUCAGGCAAGCUUGGAUUCACCCCCAGCAAUGCCAUUACCAGCUGAACUCCACUUUCUGCAUCAGUAAAUCAGAGUUCCAUAAAGUUGAAAAACAGGAAAAAAAAAUUUUUUUUCAUUUUGCAGAUUGAAUGUUCUUAAUGACGUUAUGCAUAUAUUCACCUGAACCUCCAGGCUUAAUGGACAUCCUAUAAUAAUCAUAAUACCAGUACAGGAAACUAUCUUAAGGAUUACAGGAGUUUGUAUAUGCAAAGUGCCUGAAUUCCUACUAGGACCUUGGAAAAGACUGAAUAAAUAAAUAUUCCAUCCACUCCUCCUUUAGCGCAAACUAGUAUUUUUCCACCUAUAUAUUUUUAGUAAUCAAUUUUAUUGGGGUAUAAUUGACUUAGAAAGUUGUAUUGGUUUCAGGUGUACAGCAAAGUAAAUCUGUUAUACAUAUACAUAUAUCCAUUCCUUUCAGAUUCUUUUCCUAUAUUGGUUAUUACACAGAAUUGAUUAGGUUACCAUGUGUUAUACGGUAGCUCCUUGCCACCUAUACCAUUUUAACUUGUAUUACAUCGCAACUGCCUAUUUCAUGCCCUCUAACCCCAUUCUGGAUGGUCUUAAUUACAGUAUGCUCCAUUUUUCUACGUAACUGUCAAUCAGAAAUAUCCACUUGCUCAGAGGGGAAUGAAACCAGGGCUGGCUGUUGUCAUUUUAACCUUUUGGAGUCCCAUGGAGCUUAGGAUUUUUACAGAAGUAUAUCUUGGCAGCUGCAACUGUCUCAUGCUAAAAUUAAGAAGUCAAGAUGCUUAUUUCAUAGAAGCCCAUAUUUUUGGCAACAACCUGUACCUUGUCUAUUAGGAGAAAUGAGUGGGUCUUAUAUGACUUAGAGCCUCCGCGGAGGUUUGGUUUAGAUUGUCUCUAACUACAUGGAAAAAAGUACAUUUUCCAAGCCCAAGAAUUUAUCAGCAUUACCUACAUCUGAAAACCUGUCAUUUAUGUACGCUUACAUUACUUUGGAAAAAAAAAAAAAA